This 252-nucleotide ribosomal RNA is filed under the name uncultured bacterium. Its description in RNAcentral is "partial 16S ribosomal RNA". It matches the Rfam family "Bacterial small subunit ribosomal RNA", at positions 524 to 776 of the family's 1533-position model. The record is from RNAcentral.
UACGUAGGGGGCAAGCGUUAUCCGGAAUCACUGGGCGUAAAGGGUGCGUAGGCGGUCGACAAAGUCUGGGGUGAAAGGCUACGGCUCAACCGUAGUAAGCCUUGGAAACUUGUUGACUUGAGUGCAGGAGAGGUAAGUGGAAUUCCUAGUGUAGCGGUGAAAUGCGUAGAUAUUAGGAGGAACACCAGUGGCGAAGGCUACUUACUGGACUGUAACUGACGCUGAGGCGCGAAAGCGUGGGGAGCAAACAGG